GUUAGGAAUAUUGGACAAUGGGCGAAAGCCUGAUCCAGCCAUGCCGCGUGAACGAUGAAGGCCUUCGGGUUGUAAAGUUCUUUAGCCGAUGAUUAUAAUGACUGUAGUCGGAAAAUAAGCCCCGGCUAACUUCGUGCCAGCAGCCGCGGUAAUACGAAGGGGGCGAGCGUUAUUCGGAAUCACUGGGCGUAAAGCGUGCGUAGGCGGUUUUGUAAGUUAGGAGUGAAAGCCCAGGGCUCAACCUUGGAAUUGCUCUUAAAACUGCAAGGCUCGAAUCUCGGAGAGGAUAGCGGAAUUUCCAGUGUAGCAGUGAAAUGCGUAGAUAUUGGAAGGAACACCAGUGGCGUAAGCGGCUAUCUGGACGAGUAUUGACGCUGAGGCACGAAAGCGUGGGGAGCAAACAGGAUUAGAAACCCCGGUAGUCC
RNAcentral lists this ribosomal RNA (425 nucleotides) under uncultured bacterium. Its description in RNAcentral is "partial 16S ribosomal RNA". It matches the Rfam family "Bacterial small subunit ribosomal RNA", at positions 354 to 796 of the family's 1533-position model. The record is from RNAcentral.